This 372-nucleotide ribosomal RNA is filed under the name uncultured eukaryote. RNAcentral's name for it is "partial 18S ribosomal RNA". It matches the Rfam family "Eukaryotic small subunit ribosomal RNA", at positions 592 to 975 of the family's 1831-position model. The record is from RNAcentral.
CAAUAGCGUAUAUUUAAGUUGUUGCAGUUAAAAAGCUCGUAGUUGGAUUUCUGCUGAUCGCUGUCGGUCUGCCGUCAGGUGUGCACUGGCAGUGUUUGGCAUCUAUUCGAGAUUGGGUGUCCACUUGAUUGUGUGCACUUGAUUUCGGAGCUAAUACUUUGAGAAAAUUAGAGUGUUCCACGCAGGCGCGUACCUUGAAUACUGCAGCAUGGGAUAUUGGAAGGCCGAUUGAGCUUUCUUGUUGGUUCUCGGUUUGAUCGGAAUGAUUAAUAGGGAUAGUUGGGGGCAUUCGUAUUCAACUGUCAGGGGUGAAAUUCUUGAUUUGUUGAAGACGGACUACUGCGAAAGCAUCUGCCAUGGAUGUUCUCAUUG